UAACUUUUAAAGGAUAAUAGUAAU
This 24-nucleotide transfer RNA is filed under the name Phrynocephalus axillaris (toad-headed agama). Its description in RNAcentral is "partial tRNA-Leu". The record is from RNAcentral. Lineage: Eukaryota; Metazoa; Chordata; Lepidosauria; Squamata; Agamidae.